Molecule: ribosomal RNA, 108 nt
Filed under: Labrus bergylta (ballan wrasse)
Lineage: Eukaryota; Metazoa; Chordata; Actinopteri; Labriformes; Labridae
Source: RNAcentral
GCUUUUGGCUGUACCACCCUGAACUAUCUCGUCCCAACUCAGAAGCUAAGCAGAGUGGGGUCUGGCUAGUACUUGGAUAAGUACUGGGAACACCAGGUGCUGUUAGCU